CUUCAGUGAUGAUACGAUGGCGAGUCGGGACGCAGUUGGUCUCUGGGGGUCAUGUUCUAUGUGUCUAGGUUCAGUUCCCUUAAGCAUUGUGUUCUUCAGUUGACGACAGAGGCAUUUGUCUGAGAAGG
Molecule: small nucleolar RNA, 128 nt
Filed under: Oncorhynchus mykiss (rainbow trout)
Lineage: Eukaryota; Metazoa; Chordata; Actinopteri; Salmoniformes; Salmonidae
Source: RNAcentral